Molecule: ribosomal RNA, 436 nt
Filed under: uncultured bacterium
Lineage: Bacteria
Description: bacterial SSU rRNA
Rfam family: Bacterial small subunit ribosomal RNA
Source: RNAcentral
AGAGUUUGAUCCUGGCUCAGAAUCAACGCUGGCGGCGUGCCUAACACAUGCAAGUCGAACGAGAAAGUGGAGCAAUCCAUGAGUACAGUGGCGACCGGGUGAGCAACACGUGACUAACCUACCUUCGAGUGGGGGAUAACCUCGGGAAACCGAGGCCAAUACCGCAUAACAUCGAGAGAUCAAAGGAGCAAUUCGCUUGAAGAGGGGGUCGCGGCUGAUUAGCUAGUUGGCGGGGUAAUGGCCCACCAAGGCGAAGAUCGGUAGCCGGCCUGAGAGGGCGCACGGCCACACUGGAACUGAAACACGGUCCAGACUCCUACGGGAGGCAGCAGUGGGGAAUUUUGCGCAAUGGGGGAAACCCUGACGCAGCAACGCCGCGUGGAGGAUGAAGCCCCUUGGGGUGUAAACUCCUUUCGACCAAGACGAUAAUGACGGU